RNAcentral lists this ribosomal RNA (767 nucleotides) under uncultured Streptococcus sp. Its description in RNAcentral is "bacterial SSU rRNA". It matches the Rfam family "Bacterial small subunit ribosomal RNA", at positions 28 to 776 of the family's 1533-position model. Lineage: Bacteria; Bacillati; Bacillota; Bacilli; Lactobacillales; Streptococcaceae. The record is from RNAcentral.
GACGAACGCUGGCGGCGUGCCUAAUACAUGCAAGUCGAGCGAAGUUUUUCUGGUGCUUGCACUAGAAAAACUUAGCGGCGAACGGGUGAGUAACACGUAAAGAACCUGCCUCGUAGACUGGGACAACUAUUGGAAACGAUAGCUAAUACCGGAUAACAGUAUUUCUCGCAUGAGAGAUAUUUAAAAGUUGGUUAUGCUAACACUAUGAGAUGGCUUUGCGGUGCAUUAGCUAGUUGGUGGGGUAAAGGCCUACCAAGGCGACGAUGCAUAGCCGACCUGAGAGGGUGAUCGGCCACACUGGGACUGAGACACGGCCCAGACUCCUACGGGAGGCAGCAGUAGGGAAUCUUCCGCAAUGGGCGAAAGCCUGACGGAGCAACGCCGCGUGAGUGAAGAAGGAUUUCGGUUCGUAAAGCUCUGUUGUUAGGGAAGAAUGGAUAUGUAGUAACUAUACAUGUAAGAGACGGUACCUAACCAGAAAGCCACGGCUAACUACGUGCCAGCAGCCGUGGUAAUACGUAGGUCCCGAGCGUUGUCCGGAUUUAUUGGGCGUAAAGCGAGCGCAGGCGGUUAGAUAAGUCUGAAGUUAAAGGCUGUGGCUUAACCAUAGUACGCUUUGGAAACUGUUUAACUUGAGUGCAAGAGGGGAGAGUGGAAUUCCAUGUGUAGCGGUGAAAUGCGUAGAUAUAUGGAGGAACACCGGUGGCGAAAGCGGCUCUCUGGCUUGUAACUGACGCUGAGGCUCGAAAGCGUGGGGAGCAAACAGG